AAGGAAAUGGAAACGAUUGGUCGUCUUAUUUAGUUUUGAGAGGUCUUGUGGGGCCUUAGCUCAGCUGGGAGAGCGCCUGCUUUGCACGCAGGAGGUCAGCGGUUCGAUCCCGCUAGGCUCCAUAGAGUAGCGAUACUCUAGGAUAGUCCAUUGACAAUUGAAUAUCUAUAUCAAAUUCCACGAUCUUGAAAAAGAUUGUAGAAAAGUAACAAGAAAAUAAACCGAAAACGCUGUGAAUUAAUGAGUUUUCUAGUUUAAAGAAACUAGGUUAAU
RNAcentral lists this transfer RNA (273 nucleotides) under Streptococcus urinalis. Its description in RNAcentral is "16S-23S ribosomal RNA intergenic spacer". The stretch from base 50 to 122 matches the Rfam family "tRNA". Lineage: Bacteria; Bacillati; Bacillota; Bacilli; Lactobacillales; Streptococcaceae. The record is from RNAcentral.